This 442-nucleotide ribosomal RNA is filed under the name uncultured Bacillota bacterium. Its description in RNAcentral is "bacterial SSU rRNA". It matches the Rfam family "Bacterial small subunit ribosomal RNA", at positions 917 to 1359 of the family's 1533-position model. Lineage: Bacteria; Bacillati; Bacillota. The record is from RNAcentral.
GGGCCCGCACAAGCAGCGGAGCAUGUGGUUUAAUUCGAAGCGACGCGAAGAACCUUACCGGGUCUUGACAUCCCUUGACGAAUGCCGAAAGGUAUUUUCCCUUUAGGGGGCAAGGAGACAGGUGGUGCAUGGUUGUCGUCAGCUCGUGUCGUGAGAUGUUGGGUUAAGUCCCGCAACGAGCGCAACCCUUAUUCUUAGUUACUAACGCGUAGAGGCGAGGACUCUAGGGAGACUGCCGUGGACAACACGGAGGAAGGUGGGGACGACGUCAAAUCAUCAUGCCCCUUAUGACCCGGGCUACACACGUGCUACAAUGGCCGCAACAAAGAGGAGCGAAGUCGUAAGGCGGAGCGGAUCUCAAAAAGCGGUCUCAGUUCGGAUUGUGGGCUGCAACCCGCCCACAUGAAGUCGGAGUUGCUAGUAAUCGCGGAUCAGCAUGCCG